GUUGGCCAAGUGGUUAAGGCGUGCGCCUAAUGUUUUCUCGCAGUGAGAGUUCGAAUCUCUCAAGAUACA
Molecule: small RNA, 69 nt
Filed under: Salix viminalis (osier)
Lineage: Eukaryota; Viridiplantae; Streptophyta; Magnoliopsida; Malpighiales; Salicaceae
Source: RNAcentral